UCUUCUGUCUUUUCCUUUCUUCUCCGUUCUUCUUCUUCUGCGAGUGUUUGAGAACAAACUAAAGAUUUCGAUUGAGAGAAUCAAUCUAUGAUGAAGAUCACAUGCAGUAGAAGGUGCUGUUGGUGUUGGCACAGAUUUGAGAGUUGUGUUGAUGUUUUAGGAAGCAAAUUUAGGGUUUUGAGAUGGAUCUUGGAUUCGUAUGAAAUUGAUGGGUUAAAUCGAAUUAUAAAUUGAUGUAGAAUGAAGGGUUGUUGUUAAUUUGAAGUGGUAGUAUUUCUUUGAAUAAGAAUUGAGAUGUUAAUGAAAUUGUGAAGAAUUUAGGGCUCCUGAAAUAAUUUCGAGACUCAAUUAAGGAUGAAUUAUAAGAAGUUAGAGGAUGGGUUUGUUCUUAUUUGAUGAUUGAUGGAAGCUGUGUUGUUGUUUGAUGAUUGAACCAGUGAAUUAGGGUUUGUAAAGCAAAGUCAGGGAAGAUGAAAUUGAAGGUUUAGAGGACGAAGUUGUUGUUCUAUGGGUUUGAUUUGAGAUGGGGUUUCGGUUCUUCCCCAAUUUAUGAAUUAAGGUUUCUGAGAGUUGAUGAUUACGAGACUCAUAUCGAGAGAGAAGAAGAGUAUAGUUGGUUUUGGCAGAUGGUGGUGGUCUUGAGAUGAUUUCUCAAUUGAGCUAUAAGGGAAGGAGGAGUCUGACUUCAAUUGCCUGAGUGAGGCUAUCACGAGAGUUAGUGAUGAUUUGAGAAGUUGCAAGGGCUUAGAUGAUGAAAUAAUGAAUAGUUCCAGCUGAAAUGUAAAAUAAGAACUGUAAAUGAAGGUUUGUCCUGAUUCAGAAAGUUGUGUUAAAUUAGUGGUGAACUGAAUAUGAAAGUUGUAGGUAAAGUGGUUUGAAGUUCUGGUGGUGGGUUUGAGCAUAGAGUGGAUGUUGUAGAAGUGUAUCUUGAGAUGAAGUUGUAGUUGAAUAUCAAAAAGGUGUUAGUUGUAUCUAGAGGUAGAGUUGGAAUGAUUGCGUAGUGAGCUGAAAUGAAAUGUUUGUAUGAAUGUAAUGUAAGAAUGAAGGUUAGAUGAACAUUGGAGUUGAAUCUGCUCAGUGAGAGGCUUGCAGUUGCUGCCUAACGGUAAGCUGAAGUUGUAAUUAAAAUUAUGUUAUGAAAUUAUAGUAGCUGAGUUUGAUAGUAUCGAUUGUUGAAGUGUAGAUAAGAAGAGGAUUCUGAAUUAGUUUAUGUUGAAUUAAAUCUCCUCAGUGGAAGCUUGCAACUGCAUUUGCAGGUAAAUCUAAGUUUGUAGUUGAAGUUAAAUCAUGAAGUUUUUAUAAUUUGAAUGUACAAUGUUUAAAGUUGAUACUUUGUGUAUAUCUGGUUGAAUUGAAAUAAGGAAGUAGAAGUUAGUUAGGAAGGUGUUAGUUUGGGUUGGAUUUGUAAUGCAUUAGUUUGGCCUGUUCUUACUGAUCCCAGUCAGCUUGGAUGACUCUUUGUAUCUGACUGAGUUGAACCAGUUUAACUCAGUUGACCAGACCUGACCAGACUGUAGCUGACUCAGUAAGACCGAGUUAGACUCUAACCUUGGACUGUUGACCUGACAUUGACUCUGUUGACUAUAGACUUGACUUGACCCUCACUGACGUUGACAGUUAGUGGACCCUUUGACCGUUAGUUGACUCAGAUAGACUUGAACUUAGUUUAAUGUACUUGUUUAGUGACUUGGGCUUAGUACAUGUAUUCUUAGUUUGAUAUUCUGGACCUCUUAUGGUCCGAAUUAACCUUUGGUUUCUUCUACAAAGUUGUAGAUAUUCAUAAGAAAUACUUCAUGGACUAUAAAAUCAACCUAAUUGAAUUAGUAAACCUCUAUAUGUGCUAAAGAUAGAGAAUGAAAAGGUGUAUAACCAUAAAUAGGCUUACAACCAUUAGAUAGACUUGUUUGAUUCUUUUGUGAGUCAUGGUGGCUAGAUUGUUAGAGUUCUUGUAUGAUUAACAAUUAGUUAUUAACAACGAUCAAUUCAAAGGAUGAACCAGUGGAUCGUGUAUCUCGAGGUAGGCGUGGCUUGUCAUCAAAAGAGGUGGGAAUACGUUUGACUCUUUUGUAACCAUUGUUGUUUCUUUUAUAAAAGUCUUUGUUUAUUAAACGCAUGCUUUGUCAGUUUGUGCAUUCCAUGCAUUGUUUAACUUGUAUUACGAUAAUGUUGUUGAUUCUGUUAUGUUUUGGAAAGGACCUGUAAUGUUUUGUUGUCAAUAUGAAUUGUUAUGGGAAAUGAGAAUUUCCACGUGUGAUAUAUAGGAUACGCUCCUUCAUUUAUAUCUACAUGAAUUCAACUUUUAUACUUUGGAGGUGUGGAAUUCAGCACUAACAUAAACUAAUAGGGUGUGGAAGGAAUUGGUUGACACUCAAUAUAGUACAUUGUUUGAAGGAGGAGUUUGUCCAUAUACAUGUUUGUUUAUUUCAGUGUCUUAGUUACAAUUUAAUAUUUCGGAAAACAUGUAUUGUUUUCCAAAUCUUGCUUAUGAUUGCUUGAAAGUUAAAUGUUAUUUCUGUUGGGCACCCCUUUUAGGGAUGAUGUGCUCACCCAUUCCAAUUUUCAGCUUCAGAGACAGAUCAGAGUUGCGCAGCGAAAGCUUCAAGGGUUGUUUUCGUUAGUUGGUUAACUUUUACUAUGUUUAUUAGCAUAAUUUUAUUUAGUUAUGCAUUUUCCGAUAUAUGAAUAUUUUUUUUAUAAUAUUUAUUAAUAUCAAGUUUACC
Long non-coding RNA from Papaver somniferum (opium poppy), 2720 nucleotides. RefSeq lists it as uncharacterized. NCBI's taxonomy places the organism in Eukaryota, Viridiplantae, Streptophyta, Magnoliopsida, Ranunculales, Papaveraceae. The transcript is spliced from 2 exons. The record is from RefSeq and is a predicted model, not a curated record.